UACUAGUUCAUUCAUCUGUAUUGUCUGCGUUAAUUAUAUUAUUAUUGUAUUAUUGUUAUUUUAAUAUUAUGACCUCAUCAUUGUUGUUGUAUAAUCGUUGCUUUUUAAAAUAUUUUUUAUCCUGUUAUACAAUGUCUAGGACAUUUAUCCAUUUCACUGCUUCUGGGAAGCGUGUGUGCGUGCGUGUGUGCGUGUGCGUGUGCGUGCGUGCGUGUGUGCAUGUGUGCGUGUGUGUGUGUGCGUGUGCGUGUGCUAGUCUGUACACACAGUGUAAAUAAGUGAUGCUCUCUGUACCAGCAGAUGAAAAUAUAUCUCAUUGCCCAUCAGGACUUUAUCAUAUUGAUAUGCUGAUGUUAAAGCAAUACAGUAACUAUCUAAUGUAUUAUAAUAUAAUGUGCCACGCCGUUACCGUGAGGAUACUAAGCUGUUGUAUAAUGCUAUACUGUAUUGCCAUAGCAGUGCCAUCGCCAUGACGAUACCAUGGUGUUAGGUUGCUGUAGGAUCACCAUGGUAUUGCCACGGCGUUACUAUGGUGCCGCUAAACCGUAACGUUGCUAUGGUGUUGCUACAGUACCGCCAUGCUCUGUGAGUGCUGUUUGCGUGGGAACAGUGUACUUGAUUCUGACGUGAGCCAUAGGGGAUUAUGGGUAAAUGUGAGGAGAUAUCUGAGGAGAUUAGAGGAGGACAGAGUGGCUGACACCAGGCUUUAACUUAGUCUGGUCCCAGACCUGUUUAUGAUUUCAGAGGACAACAGGGUGGCUGACACCAGGCUUUAACUUAGUCUGGUCCCAGGCCUGUUUAUGAUUUCAGAGGACAACAGGGUGGCUGACACCAGGCUUUAACUUAGUCUGGUCCCAGACCUGUUUAUGAUUUCAGAGGUCAACAGGGUGGCUGACACCUGGCUUUAACCUAGUCUGGUCCUAUGCUGCCAUGACAACUCCUUGUUGCCAUUGUCCUCCGCCAGGUGGCUUCAUUCCUAGACGACAUGCAGUCCUCAAUCAGUCAAUGCAGACAGAAUCAUAUCACUAUCUGAUGUAAGACAAUGCCUUGUCGGAGACGGCACAACCUUUUCUGGAACCAGUCUAAGGUCAAUGACAACAGGACCAGACCUGGAACCAGGCUAAGGUCAAUGACGGGACCAGUUCUGGUACCAGGUUUAUGUCAACAGGGCCAGACCUGGUACCAGGUUUAGGUCAACAGGGCCAGACCUGGUACCAGGUUUAGGUCAACAGGGCCAGACCUGGUACCAGGUUUAGGUCAACAGGGCCAGACCUGGUACCAGGUUUAGGUCAACAGGGCCAGACCUGGUACCAGGUUUAUGUCAACAGGGCCAGACCUGGUACCAGGUUUAGGUCAACAGGACCAGACCUGGUACCAGGUUUAUAACAACAGGGCCAGUUCUGGUACCAGGUUUAGGUCAACAGGACCAGUUCUGGUACCAGGUUUAUGACAACAGGACCAGUUCUGGUACCAGGUUUAUGACAACAGGACCAGUUCUGGUACCAGGUUUAUGUCAACAGGGCCAGACCUGGUACCAGGUUUAUGACAACAGGACCAGUUCUGGUACCAGGUUUAUGUCAACAGGACCAGUUCUGGUACCAGGUUUAGGUCAACAGGACCAGUUCUGGUACCAGGUUUAUGACAACAGGACCAGUUCUGGUACCAGGUUUAGGUCAACAGGGCCAGACCUGGUACCAGGUUUAGGUCAACAGGGCCAGACCUGGUACCAGGUUUAGGUCAACAGGGCCAGACCUGGUACCAGGUUUAUGUCAACAGGGCCAGACCUGGUACCAGGUUUAGGUCAACAGGACCAGUUCUGGUACCAGGUUUAGGUCAACAGGACCAGUUCUGGUACCAGGUUUAGGUCAACAGGACCAGUUCUGGUACCAGGUUUAGGUCAACAGGACCAGUUCUGGUACCAGGUUUAGGUCAACAGGACCAGUUCUGGUACCAGGUUUAGGUCAACAGGACCAGUUCUGGUACCAGGUUUAGGUCAACAGGACCAGUUCUGGUACCAGGUUUAGGUCAACAGGACCAGUUCUGGUACCAGGUUUAUGUCAACAGGACCAGUUCUGGUACCAGGUUUAUGACAACAGGACCAGUUCUGGUACCAGGUUUAUGUCAACAGGACCAGUUCUGGUACCAAGUUUAGGUCAACAGGACCAGUUCUGGUACCAGGUUUAGGUCAACAGGACCAGUUCUGGAACAGGGUUUAGGUCAACAGGACCAGUUCUGGUACCAGGUUUAGGUCAACAGGACCAGUCUGGAACAAGGUUUAGGUCAACAGGACCAGUUCUGGUACCAGGUUUAGGUCAACAGGACCAGUUCUGGAACAAGGUUUAGGUCAACAGGACCAGUUCUGGUACAAGGUUUAGGUCAACAGGACCAGUUCUGGUACCAGGUUUAUGACAACAGGACCAGUUCUGGUACCAGGUUUAUGUCAACAGGGCCAGACCUGGUACCAGGUUUAUGACAACAGGACCAGUUCUGGUACCAGGUUUAUGACAACAGGACCAGUUCUGUUCCUGUUGGUCUGGUACCAGGUUUAUGUCAACAGGACCAGUUCUGGUACCAGGUUUAGGUCAACAGGACCAGUUCUGGUACCAGGUUUAGGUCAACAGGACCAGUUCUGGAACAGGGUUUAGGUCAACAGGACCAGUUCUGGUACCAGGUUUAGGUCAACAGGACCAGAUCUGGAACAAGGUUUAGGUCAACAGGACCAGUUCUGGUACCAGGUUUAGGUCAACAGGACCAGUUCUGGAACAAGGUUUAGGUCAACAGGACCAGUUCUGGAACAAGGUUUAGGUCAACAGGACCAGUUCUGGUACCAGGUUUAGGUCAACAGGACCAGUUCUGGUACCAGGUUUAGGUCAACAGGACCAGUUCUGGUACCAGGUUUAGGUCAACAGGACCAGUUCUGGUACCAGGUUUAGGUCAACAGGGUGGAUGAUACAAGGCUGUUUGUUUCUUCAGGGGAGAAUAAAACUUUUAAAAAAUA
This is a long non-coding RNA of Oncorhynchus tshawytscha (Chinook salmon), 2998 nucleotides long. RefSeq lists it as uncharacterized. The record is from RefSeq and is a predicted model, not a curated record. The transcript has 3 exons. Lineage: Eukaryota; Metazoa; Chordata; Actinopteri; Salmoniformes; Salmonidae.